Molecule: transfer RNA, 76 nt
Filed under: Candidatus Omnitrophota bacterium
Lineage: Bacteria; Pseudomonadati; Candidatus Omnitrophota
Also listed under: 1 other name
Description: tRNA-Ala
Rfam family: tRNA
About the family: Transfer RNA (tRNA) molecules are approximately 80 nucleotides in length. Their secondary structure includes four short double-helical elements and three loops (D, anti-codon, and T loops).
Source: RNAcentral
GGGGAUGUAGCUUAGUUGGGAGAGCGCCGCCCUUGCACGGCGGAGGUCAGCGGUUCAAAUCCGCUCAUCUCCACCA